Molecule: transfer RNA, 74 nt
Filed under: Candidatus Rhabdochlamydia porcellionis
Lineage: Bacteria; Pseudomonadati; Chlamydiota; Chlamydiia; Parachlamydiales; Candidatus Rhabdochlamydiaceae
Also listed under: 4 other names
Description: tRNA-Ile
Rfam family: tRNA
About the family: Transfer RNA (tRNA) molecules are approximately 80 nucleotides in length. Their secondary structure includes four short double-helical elements and three loops (D, anti-codon, and T loops).
Source: RNAcentral
GGGGCAAUAGCUCAGUUGGUUAGAGCAGCGGACUCAUAACCCGUCGGUCCCUGGUUCAAGUCCAGGUUGCCCCA